Long non-coding RNA from Lynx canadensis (Canada lynx), 889 nucleotides. RefSeq lists it as uncharacterized. The record is from RefSeq and is a predicted model, not a curated record. The transcript has 3 exons. Lineage: Eukaryota; Metazoa; Chordata; Mammalia; Carnivora; Felidae.
AGUUACCAAAACUUGAUAUGCUUGGUAUGAAAAAUUCAGACUCUGUAGAAAUAUAAUAACUUGGCAUUGACCUCUGCCCUACAAUCUCUCUCUCUAGAGAUAACUGUUGUGAACAGUUUAGUGUUGAAUCAAAGGACCUAGUGCUUCUUUCUUGAACAUGACAGAAAGAAAAAAAUUCCAAAGAACAUGGCCCAAAGGAAAACAGACCACAAAAUUUAAGGAGUCUCAGCUUGCUGGGUUAUGAGAUCCUUCUUUGGGGCGGACCACUUACGCCUUGGCCUUGACUUCUGCUAUCUGCGUUGGAAGAAAAGCCUAAGACAGGCCGGCUUCCCCGGAAGUAGAUGCUGACAACAAGAGUCCAGCACAAGCUGUUUACUCGAGAAGGAGCCGCGCGAGAGACACCUCGAGAAAGUGGUUUUGAGGAAGCGUUUCCACUCGCUCCUGCGUGGAAUCUUCCCACCAGAGUUGCUAACAAACUGAACGUACGACUGACUGGGGUGAUGCAUCCUCUUUCUUCGUGCUCCUCACCUCCCGCCCCCCUCAUUUCUGCUGGAGAAUUGGAAAAGCGUGAAAUGCCCCCCAGAGUGAAGAACACAGCACAGGGGACUCUGGGUAAUCCACCCCUGCCCGCUGUAAGGACACGCUACCCAGUCCCGGAUCAUAGCCUUUUCUCUUCUUUACAACUCCGCGAGGAAACUUACGGUCGGGAGGAAAACGACAAAAACAAAAAAACAAACUAGGAAGAAAUACACCAUAGCAAUUACUGGCUGGAAGGUGGUGGAAUUACGGAUAUUUUUCUUUUAUUCCAUAGUUGAAUGCGGUUCUAACUCUUUUACUUAAAUGUUUGUAGUAAGACUAUUUUUCUACUUUUCUGUAUGCUUAAAUAUUU